GACGAACGCUGGCGGCGUGCCUAACACAUGCAAGUCGAACGGAAAGGCCCUGCUUUUGUGGGGUGCUCGAGUGGCGAACGGGUGAGUAACACGUGAGUAACCUGCCCUUGACUUUGGGAUAACUUCAGGAAACUGGGGCUAAUACCGGAUAGGAGCUCCUGCUGCAUGGUGGGGGUUGGAAAGUUUCGGCGGUUGGGGAUGGACUCGCGGCUUAUCAGCUUGUUGGUGGGGUAGUGGCUUACCAAGGCUUUGACGGGUAGCCGACCUGAGAGGGUGACCGGCCACAUUGGGACUGAGAUACGGCCCAGACUCCUACGGGAGGCAACGGUGGAGAAUAUUGCACAAUAGGCGGAAGCCUGAUGCAACAACGCCGCGUGCGGGAUGACGGCCUUCGGGUUGUAAACCGCUUUCGCCUGUGACGAAGCGUGAGUGACGGUAAUGGGUAAAGAAGCACCGGCUAACUACGUG
RNAcentral lists this ribosomal RNA (468 nucleotides) under uncultured bacterium. Its description in RNAcentral is "partial 16S ribosomal RNA". It matches the Rfam family "Bacterial small subunit ribosomal RNA", at positions 28 to 507 of the family's 1533-position model. The record is from RNAcentral.